Molecule: long non-coding RNA, 312 nt
Filed under: Carassius auratus (goldfish)
Lineage: Eukaryota; Metazoa; Chordata; Actinopteri; Cypriniformes; Cyprinidae
Description: lncRNA (ENSCARG00000013707.1)
Source: RNAcentral
AUGCCUCGACGGACUCAUGAAGACACAGAACCCCUGCUUUCGUCCACUCCUAUCGAUGAAGACGAUGACCAGGUAUCCAGCAGAAAGAAACUUUCAUAUGAGGAGGCAUUAAGAAAGCAGAUGCAGUGGUCAGCGAUCCUCAUGUUUCUGUCUGUCUGCAGGGUUUGGGCUCUUCCACUCUUCCUCUUCCUUGGGAUGAUGGUGGGCGGUUAUUUUUGGGGGUAUCUGGCUGAUCGCAGAGGAAGGCGGAGUGUUCUGGUCGUCUCACUGGCAGUGAAUGGCACAUUUGGGGCGGAGGCCAGUUUGGCUUAG